Molecule: non-coding RNA, 120 nt
Organism: Glycine max (soybean)
Lineage: Eukaryota; Viridiplantae; Streptophyta; Magnoliopsida; Fabales; Fabaceae
Source: Rfam
UUCUUAUUGGAUGAUGGCUGUCAUGUGUCAUGUUCUGAUUGAAUGUCAACUCCAUGAAAGAUGAAAUGCAUUGUUGUUUUCAUUGACCAAUCAGAACAUGGCACGUGACAGUCAACAUCA